UGCGAGCUGGUGCAAUCGGCAGCACACCCGUCUCUGGAACGGGCGAUGGAGGUUCGAGUCCUCCGCUCGCAG
RNAcentral lists this transfer RNA (72 nucleotides) under Micromonospora citrea. Its description in RNAcentral is "tRNA-Gln". It matches the Rfam family "tRNA". From Rfam's summary of the family: Transfer RNA (tRNA) molecules are approximately 80 nucleotides in length. Their secondary structure includes four short double-helical elements and three loops (D, anti-codon, and T loops). The record is from RNAcentral. RNAcentral also lists the same sequence under 16 other names. Lineage: Bacteria; Bacillati; Actinomycetota; Actinomycetes; Micromonosporales; Micromonosporaceae.